RNAcentral lists this long non-coding RNA (2728 nucleotides) under Salmo salar (Atlantic salmon). Its description in RNAcentral is "lncRNA (ENSSSAG00000104128.1)". Lineage: Eukaryota; Metazoa; Chordata; Actinopteri; Salmoniformes; Salmonidae. The record is from RNAcentral.
UCGCGCGCAAAUAUUAUUAACUAUUAAGCUAGCUAGUACCUAUUCCAUUUAUGUGGCGUCGUCAAAGAUGGAAUCAGCAUGCAGAUGAUGCAGAGCAGGCAACAGAUGGCACACAGACAGCAGAGUUGGAGACAGAUAUGCAGGGACAGACUGGCAGAGACAGGGAGUCUCAGUUGAAUCUCACUGACAUCAUCCGGCAGUAAGAAGAUGUCCACUCCACACCAGUAUUUCCCAGCAACCUUCAGGCUCAGUGUAUAUAUGACGACGGUGAAGACUGCAGCAGUGAUGUUGUCGUACACAGAGAAUCUCCCUUCUCUAACCCAGACGUCAUGCUUCCUGGUCCGAAGCUUCUUCAUGUGUCCCUCCACUCCCCUCACAGAGGAGCUUCCCUUCAUCCCAGAUGUCAUCUUGUUCUCUAUAGAGCACUGCCUUUGACCAGGGUCCAUUUGGGGGAAAGGUAAUAGGGUGCCAUUUGGGACACAUUCCUUGUAUAUAUUCUAUAGUACUACAUUAUUUUGGGUGGCUGGGCUGUAGAGUAGAUGGUGUCUUCUGGAGUGUCUUUAGAGAGGUGUACAGCAGGGUAUCUUGUAGAUUCUACAGUAUCUUUGGGUAGCUGGGCUGUAGAAUAGAUGGAAUCAUCCUGGGUUCCACUGGCUGUUGGAGGGCUUGAAGAGACUCUAGAAUCUUUGGGUAGAGAUCCAUAUUGGAGUAGAUGAGAGAAGCUGGGUGAUCUGCAGUAGAAUAGCUUGGAUUUCUAUAAUCUUUGUGGCAGCUUGCAUUAGCAUAGAUGUCACAGUGUGGGACACCGAUAGCAUGGCCAGCAGGGUAGGUGAGAGACGCUUGGUCAGCAGGGUAGGUAGUAGAGGCUUGGUCAGCAGGGUAGGUUGUAGAAGCUUGGCCAGCAGGGUAGGUUGUAGAGACUUGGCCAGCAGGGUAGGUUGUAGUGGCUUGGUCAGCAGGGUAGGUUGUAGAGGGUUGGCCAGCAGAGUAGGUUGUAGAGACUUGGCCAGUAGGGAAGGUUGUAGAGUGUUGGCCAGCAGGGUAGGUUGUAGAGACUUGGCCAGCAGGGUAGGUUGUAGAGACUUGGCCAGCAGGGUAGGUUGUAGAGACUUGGCCAGCAGGGUAGGUUGUAGAGACUUGGCCAGCAGGGUAGGUUGUAGAGGGUUGGCCAGCAGGGCAGGUUGUAGAGGUUUGACCAGCAGGGUAGGUUGUAGAGACUUGGCCAGCAGGGUAGGUUGUAGAGACUUGGCCAGCAGGGUAGGUUGUAGAGACUUGGCCAGCAGGGUAGGUUGUAGAGACUUGGCAAGCAGGGUAGGUUCUAGAGACUUGGCCAGCAGGGUAGGUUGUAGAGACUUGGCCAGCAGGGUAGGUGGUAGAGGGUUGGCCAGCAGGGCAGGUUGUAGAGGCUUGACCAGCAGGGCAGGUUGUAGAGACUAGGCCAGCAGGGUAGGUAGUAGAGACUUGGCCAGCAGGGUAGGUUGUAGAGACUUGGCCAGCAGGGUAGGUUGUAGAGGGUUGGCCAGCAGGGUAGGUUGUAGAGACUUGGCCAGCAGGGUAGGUUGUAGAGACUUGGCCAGCAGGGUAGGUUGUAGAGGGUUGGUCAGCAGGGUAGGUUGUAGAGGGUUGGCCAGAAGGGUAGGUUGUAGGUGAAUUGACAGUAGAGUAGACUAAAGAGAUGACCACAGGGAGUGUGUCUGUCUGUCUGUCUGCCUCUCUGAUCUCCUCAUACACACAGUCAACCUGCAUACAGAACCAAAGACAAUAAAUACAUGUUCAAAUAUGGAAAGAAGUCGAAGGUCCUCAACAAUCAACAACAUGUUAGCCACUGUAUUUCAUCAUGGAAUGAUAACAGACGACAGUACAAUCCAAUUAGAGGCUAUAGACUCACACACUCAACCCUAAGAUGUUUAGUUUACCACCUGCCUGUCUAUCACCACUACAAUAAAAGUUGUUAUGGACACACACACACGCACACACCACACACCCUGAUAUCUCUCACCUCUCCAGUAGGGUCAGGUUGUGUGUUGGAGGAGACUGGUGGUAGUGGUGGUGUUCUCCUGGUUCCUCUCCUCUGUCUGUAGAACAGGAGCAGGACCAGUCCUAACACUGUCACCAUGACUACCAGACCAGCACUGGUCCACACCAUCAGACCUGACCACAGACAGGAGGAGAGACUUUACAGAGUACUGUAUAUAUCAUAGAUACCAUCAGACCUGACCACAGACAGGAGGAGAGACUUUACAGAGUACUGUAUAUAUCAUAGAUACCAUCAGACCUGACCACAGACAGGAGGAGAGACUUUACAGAGUACUGUAUAUAUCAUAGAUACCAUCAGACCUGACCACAGAGAGGAGGAGAGACUUUACAGAGUACUGUAUAUAUCAUAGAUACCAUCAGACCUGACCACAGACAGGAGAGACUUUACAGAGUACUGUAUAUAUCAUAGAUACCAUCAGACCUGACCACAGACAGGAGGAGAGACUUUACAGAGAACUGUAUAUAUCAUAGAUACCAUCAGACCUGACCACAGACAGGAGGAGAUACUUUACAGAGCACUGUAUAUAUCAUAGAUACCAUCAGACCUGACCACAGACAGGAGGAGAUACUUUACAGAGUACUGUAUAUAUCAUAGAUACCAUCAGACCUGACCACAGACAGGAGGAGAUACUUUACAGAGUACUGUAUAUAUCAUAGAUACCAUCAGACCUGACCACAGACAGGAGGAGAG